Pelobates cultripes (western spadefoot toad) is the source of this 133-nucleotide non-coding RNA. The record is from the annotation of a GenBank genome assembly. Lineage: Eukaryota; Metazoa; Chordata; Amphibia; Anura; Pelobatidae.
GUGGUGCCCAACCCAGUCCUCAUGGACCACCAACAGUUCAAGAUUCAUGUAUUUCCAUUUUUUUAUGGAGAUAAAUGGAGAUACUGACAAAACCUGGACUGUUGGUGGUCCAUGAGGACUUGGUUGGGGACCA